GUCGGUAAUGGAAUCAAGGGGAUUUUUAUUAAUUGUUUUUUGUUUAAGGUGUUAAAUUUGUCUGGAUUUUAAAACCUGGAUUUGUGCUUGAAAAAAAAUCUUUUGAUAACUUUCUUUUAGUAUGCUAAUCCCAUAAUGAGGUGGGAAGUGCAAUCCCUUUAUAAAAAAUGAAUCAUCUAAAAGAUGUUUUUGCUAUUAUCAUCUGUACUAAUUCAAAAAAAUCUGAAAGAUAAAAGAAAAUCAUGUGGUUAUCCCCCAAUAUAAGUGGAAGGCUAAAUGUGACAAGAUUUUAUCCAGGUAUCUUUUGGAAAUUAUUCAUAGCACUACCUUUCCCUAUUCUAGUAUCUCUCAAAUCUCAGAAUAUGCCAUAUCGUAACUUGGGUAGAAUCAGCAAGCUUUUGGUCAAAAGAAGCAGUUCUAAACUUGAGCUCCCAAACCCUGUUGUCCCCUCCACAAGAUAAGUUUGAAAUUUUGGAUGAAUCUUAUAUUGGAACUGUUAUAGACCAAGAUAUAAGAAUAAGUCUCAUUGUAGAAAAAUAAAUAAAUAGUCUGCAGAUAGUCCUCAACCUAUGAUAUUUAUGAUUUAUUGUAUUUAUGAUAUAGUCAAUAAAUUCUAUGAUUGUUCAGUGCAGUUCCUAUGUGCCAGUCCAUGUGCAAUAGUAUAAUGUAUCAAGGUUGUUAUUUUUGUGCCUGUUUCCUGUAGUUUCAGAAUUUUCUUAAGUUUAUUAUGAUAACAUAUAGUGUCCUAAUAAUGAUUGGUAAUGGGAAAUUCAUAAA
This 777-nucleotide long non-coding RNA is filed under the name Androctonus crassicauda. The record is from RNAcentral. Lineage: Eukaryota; Metazoa; Arthropoda; Arachnida; Scorpiones; Buthidae.